RNAcentral lists this ribosomal RNA (357 nucleotides) under uncultured bacterium. RNAcentral's name for it is "bacterial SSU rRNA". It matches the Rfam family "Bacterial small subunit ribosomal RNA", at positions 32 to 369 of the family's 1533-position model. The record is from RNAcentral.
AAUCAACGCUGGCGGCGUGCCUCAGACAUGCAAGUCGAACGCGAAAGUUUCCUUCGGGAAGCGAGUAGAGUGGCGUCCGGGUGAGUAACACGUAGGUAAUCUACCUUUGGGUGGGGAAUAACAACCGGAAACGGUUGCUAAUACCGCAUAAUGCAGCGGCACCACAUGGUGACAGUUGUUAAAGCGGGGGAUCGCAAGACCUCGCGCCUAAAGAGGAGCCUGCGGCGGAUUAGCUAGUGGUAAGGUAACGGCUUACCAAGGCAACGAUCCGUAGCCGGCCUGAGAGGGCGGUCGGCCACACUGACACUGAAAUACGGGUCAGACUCCUACGGGAGGCAGCAGUCGGGAAUUUUGGGC